RNAcentral lists this ribosomal RNA (123 nucleotides) under Castor canadensis (American beaver). The record is from RNAcentral. Lineage: Eukaryota; Metazoa; Chordata; Mammalia; Rodentia; Castoridae.
GUCUAUGGCCAUACCACCACCCUGAAUGUACCCAAUCUCCUCUGGUCUCGGAAGCUAAACAGGGUCAGGCCUGGUUAGUACUUGUGUGGAAAAAAGAUCUUCAGAGAAGACUGCUCAGAGACG